AUCGCUUCUCAGCCUUUUGGCUAAGAUCAAGUGUAGUAUAACAAAGGAAUACAAAAAACUCUUAAAGGUUUUUGAAAAUCAAU
Molecule: small nuclear RNA, 83 nt
Organism: Oryctolagus cuniculus (rabbit)
Lineage: Eukaryota; Metazoa; Chordata; Mammalia; Lagomorpha; Leporidae
Gene: U2
Rfam family: U2 spliceosomal RNA
About the family: U2 is a small nuclear RNA (snRNA) component of the spliceosome (involved in pre-mRNA splicing).
Source: Ensembl